AACGCACCUUGCGCCCUUUGGCUAUUCUGAAGGGCAUGCCUGUUUGAGUAUCAUGAACACCUCAACUCUCAUGGUCUGCCAUGAUGAGCUUGGACUUUGGGGGUCUUGCUGGCCUAGCGUCGGCUCCUCUCAAAUGGAUCAGCUUGCCAGUGUUUGGUGGCAUCACGGGUGUGAUAACUAUCUACGCUUGUGGUUUUCCAUCAUGUAACCUUCAGCAAUGGAGGUUCGCUGGAGCUCACAGAUGUCUCUCCUUGGUGAGGACAGCUUUUGAACGUUUGAUCUCAAAUCAGGUAGGACUACCCGCUGAACUUAA
Molecule: unclassified non-coding RNA, 313 nt
Filed under: uncultured Thelephoraceae
Lineage: Eukaryota; Fungi; Basidiomycota; Agaricomycetes; Thelephorales; Thelephoraceae
Description: sequence contains ITS2
Source: RNAcentral